AUUAUACCGUGAAACUGCGAAUGGCUCAUUAAAUCAGUUAUCGUUUAUUUGAUAGUACCUUACUACUUGGAUAACCGUGGUAAUUCUAGAGCUAAUACAUGCUAAAAACCCCAACUUCGGAAGGGGUGUAUUUAUUAGAUAAAAAGCCAAUGCCCUCCGGGGCUCUUUGGUGAUUCAUAGUAACUUAACGGAUCGCAUGGCCUUGCGCCGGCGACGGUUCAUUCAAAUUUCUGCCCUAUCAACUUUCGAUGGUAAGGUAUUGGCUUACCAUGGUUUCAACGGGUAACGGGGAAUUAGGGUUCGAUUCCGGAGAGGGAGCCUGAGAAACGGCUACCACAUCCAAGGAAGGCAGCAGGCGCGCAAAUUACCCAAUCCCGACACGGGGAGGUAGUGACAAUAAAUACUGAUACAGGGCUCUUUUGGGUCUUGUAAUCGGAAUGAGUACAAUUUAAACCCCUUAACGAGGAACAAUUGGAGGGCAAGUCUGGUGCCAGCAGCCGCGGUAAUUCCAGCUCCAAUAGCGUAUAUUAAAGUUGUUGCAGUUAAAAAGCUCGUAGUUGAACCUUGGGCCUGGCUGGCUGGUCCGCCUCACCGCGUGUACUGGUUGGCCGGGCCUUUCCUUCUGGAGAACCCCAUGCCCUUCACUGGGUGUGCGGGGGAACCAGGACUUUUACUGUGAAAAAAUUAGAGUGUUCAAAGCAGGCCUUUGCUCGAAUACGUUAGCAUGGAAUAAUAGAAUAGGACGUGCGAUCCUAUUUUGUUGGUUUCUAGGACCGCCGUAAUGAUUAAUAGGGAUAGUCGGGGGCAUCAGUAUUCAAUUGUCAGAGGUGAAAUUCUUGGAUUUAUUGAAGACUAACUACUGCGAAAGCAUUUGCCAAGGAUGUUUUCAUUAAUCAGUGAACGAAAGUUAGGGGAUCGAAGACGAUCAGAUACCGUCGUAGUCUUAACCGUAAACUAUGCCGACUGGGGAUCGGGCGAUGUUUCUAUAUUGACUCGCUCGGCACCCUAAGAGAAAUCAAAGUUUUUGG
This 1028-nucleotide ribosomal RNA is filed under the name Amniculicola immersa. RNAcentral describes it as "SSU rRNA". It matches the Rfam family "Eukaryotic small subunit ribosomal RNA", at positions 73 to 1110 of the family's 1831-position model. Lineage: Eukaryota; Fungi; Ascomycota; Dothideomycetes; Pleosporales; Amniculicolaceae. The record is from RNAcentral.